AUGAACUGGUUUUCAACGUGACGUGCGAUGUACCUCAUAGUAAAGUGCUUUGUCAGUCAAGGUAAGUUUUCCGGGCCAUGCAAUGUUAUUCUCCCAUUUAAGAACGGGCCUUUUUCGGCUAGAUCCGAGGCAUAAGAUUCGUUCUCCAGAAAUAUGAGGAAUCCCUUUUACAUGGUAUGAUUUCCUUCCUUCAUACACUCUUCAACGGUGGGAAAAUUUGUCAAAGAAAUAAUCCUCAGUAGGAGAUCAAGAAAACUAUUUGUUCAAAACCGAAAGUAGUAAUAUUCUGUCCCAAUAUACAUGCUAAAACUUUCCUUUUGGGAAUGUGCUGACUCCUGAAAAUAGAGGUGGCAAAACAGGUCGUCCGGGUAACGGGUUAGGGAGACCCGCCAACAUAUUUUCAUCCAAAAAAAUUUAAUAUUGUAGAUGUAUUAAACGAUUGCAAAAAAACUAUGUUAUUAAACUAAUAAUAUAUUUUUCUUCAAAUAAACCGUUUUGAGAAGUUGAAAGGAUUUAAAUAUAUACCCGUUCAGCCAAUUUGACCCGUUAUCAAAACCAACGCAACCCGAAUUGACCCAUUUCAUACACAUGAGGUUGACAUGCCCCUUUUACUUGAAUAAAUAACAUUAUCCUUUAAGGAAAGUCUUAGUCCAAAAUUACGUUGCAUAUUAGUUGUCAAGGUUCCUUGUUUUGUAAUUGUUGAGGGGUAGUUUAGGCAUUUAACUAAUGAUAAGAGAAAGUGUUAAUGAGAUGCUUACUUGAGAAGUUCAUCGAUAUAUUUGGACCAUACUUGGAAGGAGAUGGUUUUCUGACCACCGGAAAGAGCUUUGAAAAGGUUAUGUACCGUUGGCCAAUCUGCUAGGCCCGAGAUGGCAGGGGCAAUGCGGACAAAAGCCUCUUCUCCAACAAGCUUCCUCUUUAAUAAAUAUAAUAAUAAUGUUUUUAAGGUAUAACUCAUGACACCUUCUGUUUAAUGCAUAGAAUGUUGAAACAUGAAUAGAAGUAGAGGGGGCGAUAUGAGCCUGACAGGAAUCAGGUCAAGACCAAGAUGGUUCAUUUUAAGAAUGGUCACCAGCAACCAUAUUUGAAUGCAUUCCUUAUAAAAUAUAUAUAAUAAUUCAUGUGCUAAUUAUAACUUAUUUUAUUUAAUAAUAGUAAUCUAAAUCUUUGAUCAAAAUGAUUUUUGAUGUUGUAUGUACUUUUCAAGUGAAUAAGGUGACACUCCUAGUCUCCUUUUUAUGCAUAGAUGUUGACACAUAAAUAGAAGUAGAGGUGGCAACAUGUGCAUGACGCUAUCGAGUUGAAAUGGGCCAAAAUGGGCACGAACAUUCACUUUUUAGUCCAUAGCUUAAAUAAUAUAUAAAUAAUUAAUGAGCUAAUUAUGAUUGAUUUUUUCAAAAAAAAAAACAAUCUGAUCAAAAUGAUUUAUGAUGUUGUAUCAUCAUCAUCAUCAUCAUCAUCAUAAUCAGUAAAUUCCACCAAUAGCAAAGCUAAGGUAGGGUCUAAGGAGGGUAAGAUGUAGACAGCCUUACCUCUACCCCGUAGGAAUAGAGAGGCUGCUUCCAGUGAGACCCCCGGCUCGAUAGUAGUUUUACAUCAAGCCUUGGACAUAAGGCACAUAACAAUUAGCAAUCGGGAAAAAGGCCGAUUAUUGCAUGUACCCUUUUGCCUUUCGGUUAUCAACACCACCGCAUGAAGCAUCAUUAACCGUCCCCCGUUUUUAACGUUAUUUUCACGAAAUUUAGUAAAAUAACGUCAAAAUUAGUGCAAUUUCACUUUUGCCCCCCGAGAGCCCAUACAUAUAUGCAUUAUAUGCGGACACCGCAAGCUGGACGUGAUUUACGAUGUUGUAUGUAUUCAAAACACACAUCAGGUGACUUUCAACCCGUUUGACCGAUUUAACCAACUUGAGAUGAAACACACACAAAAUUGACCUAUUAAUAAAUAUAAAGGUCGAAACUGAAACAUCUAUAUAGAAGCAUCAAUUCAACACGUCGUAUGCGCAUGAAGUGCCAAAGCAGAAACUACAAAAAAAAAAAAAAAAAAAAAAA
This 2051-nucleotide long non-coding RNA is filed under the name Helianthus annuus (common sunflower). RNAcentral describes it as "hypothetical non coding rna". Lineage: Eukaryota; Viridiplantae; Streptophyta; Magnoliopsida; Asterales; Asteraceae. The record is from RNAcentral.